Molecule: ribosomal RNA, 310 nt
Filed under: Scelarcis perspicillata (Menorca wall lizard)
Lineage: Eukaryota; Metazoa; Chordata; Lepidosauria; Squamata; Lacertidae
Description: partial 12S ribosomal RNA
Rfam family: Bacterial small subunit ribosomal RNA
Source: RNAcentral
CCGCCAGAGAACUACAAGUGAAAUACUUCAAACUCAAAGGACUUGACGGUGUCCCAUAUCGACCUAGAGGAGCCUGUCCUGUAAUCGAUACCCCCCGUUCCACCCANCCCCAACUAGCACCACAAUCAGCCUAUAUACCGCCGUCGACAGUCUACCCUAUGAAGGUCCAAUAGUAGAUACAACAGCCCAACGCUAAUACGACAGGUCAAGGUGUAGCAAAUGCUGGGGAAGAGAUUGGCUACAUUUUUUAUUAUAAAAAACACGAAAUGCAUUAUGAAACACUGCACGAAGGUGAAUUUAGUAGUAAAAU